GCGGCCGAUAUCGGAUUAGCUAGUUGGUGAGGUAAAGGCUCACCAAGGCGACGAUCCGUAGCGGGUCUGAGAGGACGACCCGCCACACUGGAACUGAGACACGGUCCAGACUCCUACGGGAGGCAGCAGUGGGGAAUUUUGGACAAUGGGGGCAACCCUGAUCCAGCCAUUCCGCGUGAGUGAAGAAGGCCUUCGGGUUGUAAAGCUCUUUCAGCAGGAACGAAACGGUGGUCCUUAAUACGGGCUACUAAUGACGGUACCUGAAGAAGAAGCACCGGCUAACUACGUGCCAGCAGCCGCGGUAAUACGUAGGGUGCGAGCGUUAAUCGGAAUUACUGGGCGUAAAGCGUGCGCAGGCGGUUCUAUAAGACAGAUGUGAAAUCCCCGGGCUUAACCUGGGAACUGCGUUUGUGACUGUAGGACUUGAGCGUGGCAGAGGGGGGUGGAAUUCCACGUGUAGCAGUGAAAUGCGUAGAGAUGUGGAGGAACACCGAUGGCGAAGGCAGCCCC
This 510-nucleotide ribosomal RNA is filed under the name uncultured bacterium. RNAcentral describes it as "bacterial SSU rRNA". It matches the Rfam family "Bacterial small subunit ribosomal RNA", at positions 226 to 728 of the family's 1533-position model. The record is from RNAcentral.